RNAcentral lists this long non-coding RNA (1203 nucleotides) under Coffea arabica (coffee). RNAcentral's name for it is "long non-coding RNA (CARA_LNC007999)". Lineage: Eukaryota; Viridiplantae; Streptophyta; Magnoliopsida; Gentianales; Rubiaceae. The record is from RNAcentral.
AAGGAUAUACAGGAUGCAUGCAAACUCUUUGAGCCAAUUUAUGAUGAAACUGAUGGUGGUGAUGGGUAUGUGUCUGUCGAAGUGUCACCCGGACUUGCUGAUGAUACUCAGGGGACUAUAGAAGCUGCAAAGUGGCUUCAUAAAAAGGUUCAGCGCCCUAAUGUUUACAUCAAGAUUCCUGCUACAGCUCCAUGCAUUCCUUCAAUCAAGGAAGUGAUUGCAUCAGGAAUUAGUGUGAAUGUUACGGUAGGUUGAUUUUUUAUCAGGUAUCCGUUGGUAAUAAGAAAUAAUAUGCUAAUGUAACAUGUUUAUUGAGUUUGCAUGAGGUCCUCAUAUAUGGUAAUGUACCGUUUUAAAGUUCUUAUUGGCUUCCAACAAUGGUGGGAAGAACCUGCACUGGCAUCAUUUAGUUUAUCUUGUCCACCUUUGUAGUUAUUAUUACUGAGUGGUGAGAUUCCAUUUUUUGAGCUUGAGGAUUGGUUUGACUUCUGUAAAGCUUGAAGUUACAAUAGGAGGCCAGAGACAGUAUAAUCUAGUUCUGGGAAGUGUACUCCCCUAAGAUGAUCCCUAAUUAAAUUGUUGCCCUAUGAGGAGGCUGAUAGAAAAGAAGCCUGAGUUGAUGGAGAGCCCCUGACCAUAUGAACAUUAUCUUUAAGGAAGAAAAGUGAAGAACUUUUGCUUGUGUUACUUACUAUACUUAGUUGUGCUAAGAAAUUCUUUUGGGUUGUUGACAUUUUUUUUUUUUGGUUUUUGGACAAACAGCUCAUAUUCUCUCUUGCUAGAUAUGAAGGAGUUAUUGAUGCUUACCUGGAUGGCCUAGAGGCCUCUGGACUAUCUGAUCUCUCUCGAGUUACAAGUGUUGCUUCUUUCUUUGUUAGUCGAGUAGACACCCUUGUUGACAAGAUGCUUGAGAAAAUUGGAACUCCUGAAGCUCUUGAUCUCCGUGGGAAGGUAAUUAUAUAGGAACUUCUAGAUUUUGCAAAUUCUUCUGGGUUAUGCUGCAACUUGUGGAAUCUGUGCUAUUGACUAACACCCGUUACAGGCUGCAAAUGCUCAAGCAGCUCUUGCCUACCAGGUCUACCAGAAAAAGUUCUCUGGUCCAAGAUGGGAGGCUUUGGUGAAGAAAGGUGCCAAGAAGCAAAGGCUGCUGUGGGCUUCAACCAGUGUGAAGAAUCCGGCAUACCCUGAUACUUUAUACGUGGC